UGGGGAAUUUUGGACAAUGGGGGAAACCCUGAUCCAGCCAUCCCGCGUGUGCGAUGAAGGCCUUCGGGUUGUAAAGCACUUUUGGCAGGAAAGAAACGUCGCGGGUUAAUACCCCGCGAAACUGACGGUACCUGCAGAAUAAGCACCGGCUAACUACGUGCCAGCAGCCGCGGUAAUACGUAGGGUGCAAGCGUUAAUCGGAAUUACUGGGCGUAAAGCGUGCGCAGGCGGUUCGGAAAGAAAGAUGUGAAAUCCCAGAGCUUAACUUUGGAACUGCAUUUUUAACUACCGGGCUAGAGUGUGUCAGAGGGAGGUGGAAUUCCGCGUGUAGCAGUGAAAUGCGUAGAUAUGCGGAGGAACACCGAUGGCGAAGGCAGCCUCCUGGGAUAACACUGACGCUCAUGCACGAAAGCGUGGGGAGCAAACAGGAUUAGAUACCCUGGUAGUCCACGCCCUAAACGAUGUCAACUAGCUGUUGGGGGCCUUCGGGCCUUGGUAGCGCAGCUAACGCGUGAAGUUGACCGCCUGGGGAGUACGGUCGCAAGAUUAAAACUCAAAGGAAUUGACGGGGUCGAU
RNAcentral lists this ribosomal RNA (576 nucleotides) under uncultured bacterium. RNAcentral's name for it is "partial 16S ribosomal RNA". It matches the Rfam family "Bacterial small subunit ribosomal RNA", at positions 355 to 923 of the family's 1533-position model. The record is from RNAcentral.